Molecule: long non-coding RNA, 1979 nt
Organism: Bubalus bubalis (water buffalo)
Lineage: Eukaryota; Metazoa; Chordata; Mammalia; Artiodactyla; Bovidae
Exons: 6
Source: RefSeq, a predicted model, not a curated record
GAAACAAUCCAAAUGCCCAUUCAUAGAUGAACAGAUAAAUAACUGGGAUGCAUACUCACAGUGGACUCAGCCAGCGUAAGAAGGAAUAAAGCACCGCUACGUGCUCCAACAUGGAUGAACCUUGAGAUCAGUAUGUUAAAUAAGCCAGACACAAAAGACCACCCACUGUAUGGUUCCGUUUAUCUGAAAUAUCCAGAACAGGAACGUCUUUACAGACAGAAAGCAGAUUAGGAUUUACGAGCACCUGGGGCGUGACCACUGAAUGGGUGUGGGGUUUUAUGUGGGGGCUGUCCUAUGGUCAGGCCAGCCACGAUGGCGGUUCCCUCGCUCUCUCCACCUGCCCUGCCCGGCCCGGGCCUGCUUCACCAUUAGCUCGCACACACAACUUGCCUUCCUACACGCUUGCCCCAGGCCCCAGCUGGUGAUUAUGCUUCUCAAAGGGGCCGUGAGGAGUUCUGCUACUGCUUUCCCUGGUAGCUAAGGUACCCACCUGACACCAAUUCCCCCAGGAACUGGUGACCUCGCCCUGACCCCGGAAGCAAAGCCUGCCGCCGUGCUUUGCCUGCCUCCAACCUCUGCACACGGUGGGUGUUGCUCCAGGACCAUUACUUCAGACAGCAGCAAUGCCAAUGCCACCAUGACAUUGCCUGUUAGAGCCGUACUUGUCCAUCCUUAUGAAGCCUCUUGGUGAAUGGUUGUGUCCCCGCCUCAAAAGACUCUCUACUGCCAUCUGCUGGAAAUUAUCAUAGCAAACAGGUUCCUGGGAUCUCUCUUUAUCUGGAGGGAGUCCCUGUCUCCCUGGCCGUGGCUUAACCCUUUUAAGGCAAAAGCCAGAAAACAGUGCCUUGGACCACGUGUGGGAGAGCCUGAGCCAGGACCGGAGGGGACCCAGAGGGGAUACUGUGCUGACCAACGCGGGCCCUGGCGCAGACAGAGCUCGGUGGGGUGGGCGUGAUGUGCCGUGUUCUUGUCAUCUGUAUUAUUACUGCCAGCGCUCAGCAUGCUAUGUAUGAUGAAACUGAGGCACAGAGGGGUUUGGUAUUGCGCCCAAGUUUACACAGGGGAGGAGCAGAGCCUGGAGUCCAGCCCAGGUCAUCUGAAGCCAGAGCUGGUGACCAUGCCAUAACUGUCACGGGCCAGAGGAGGGACAAGCAGAGAGCUAAGGCAGGGAAAGAAGAAAGCAUAAUGAAGAAAGUGCACUGAAGACAAGUGUACAGUUCAGUGAAUUCUCACACGUAGAACUCAUCCGUGACGCCAGCGCCCCACCAAAACGGGACAUGGCCACAUCCCUGGGGCUCCCCUCAGUUCACGCUCAUCAGCCGCCUUCCAGAUCGACCUCUGCUGGACCUGUGACUGUAACGGCCUUGAUUGUGCAACACUUUUGUUUUUCUAGUAUAGCUAAGAUGUGCUCAGUGAAGCUUAUGUUGAAAACACGGAAGGCAGAAGCAUAGAGACAGCCUGUUAACAAAUUGAACAGCCUUUUAAAAUGCUAAUUUUUUACUUGAGAUCUAACAUAAGAUUGCACAGGUUGUAAGCAUAAGGCCCAAUACAUUUUCACUGGGUGACCACCUCAUGUUAAUCACCAAAUUGAAACUGAGAACAACACGGCAAGAACCGCUGUUCCAAGGGCAUUGAUCAGCUUUGCCCAAACAGCCUUGUUAUAAUCUUAUUUAUAGUUUUUGAUAAUUUAUUUUACUCAAGGAUAGUUGAUUUACAAUGUUGCAUUAAUUUCUGCUGCACAGCAAAUUCACUUAGUUAUACCUACAUAUACACAUAAAUAUAUAUACAUAUACAUACAUAAAUACACACACACACACACAUUCUGUUUCAUAUUCUUCACCAUUUGGCCCAUCGCAGGAUAUUGAAUAUAGUUCCCUGUGCCAUACGGUGGGCCCUUGUUGCUUAUCCAUCCUAUAGAUAAUAGUGGGCAUCUCCUAACCCCAGCUCUCGCUCCAUCCCUACCCCCGGCUCCUCCUAGG